CUACGGGGGGCUGCAGUAGGGAAUAUUGCGCAAUGGACGAAAGUCUGACGCAGCGACGCCGCGUGGGUGAAGAAGGUCUUAUGAUUGUAAAGCCCUGUGAGGGGGGACGAAAAAAUUAAAAUUGACGGUACCCCCAGAGGAAGGACCGGCUAAAUAUGUGCCAGCAGCCGCGGUAAUACAUAUGGUCCGAGCGUUGUCCGGAUUGACUGGGCGUAAAGGGUGCGUAGGCGGACGCACAAGUCAGGUGUGAAAGCCCCGAGCUUAACUUGGGGACUGCGCUUGAAACUGUGUAUCUGGAGCAUGUCAGGGGUAAGCGGAAUUCCCGGAGUAGCGGUGAUAUGCGUAGAUAUCGGGAAGAACACCGGUGGUGAAGACGGCUUACUGGGGCAGAGCUGACGCUGAGGCACGAAAGCGUGGGGAGCGAACAGGAUUAGAUACCCUUGUAGUC
Molecule: ribosomal RNA, 448 nt
Filed under: uncultured bacterium
Lineage: Bacteria
Description: partial 16S ribosomal RNA
Rfam family: Bacterial small subunit ribosomal RNA
Source: RNAcentral